GGCUGCGAGAAUCUGGGCCUCAAGACCGAUUCCGUUGCAAGGAACAGCUCGAAGAAUCACUAUUGCGGAAGCUGCGGCUACGGAUGUCGGAGCGGAGAAAAACGAGGCACUGACACCACCUGGCUCGUCGACGCCGUCCAGGACGGAGCUGUGAUAUUAACCGGAUUCAAAGCGGAGAGGUUUGUACUUAAAACAAAAAAUUCUACUACCAACGGGAAAAAGAAGAGAUGUACCGGUGUGAUGGCGGAGAGCGUCGUCGAAGGCGGUGGAGUGAUGAUGAAAAUCGAUAUCAGAGCUAAGGUGACCGUUUCAGCAUGUGGGUCAUUGCUAACUCCGCCUCUCCUCCUCGCCACUGGUCUGGAAAAUAAGCACAUAGGAAA
Molecule: long non-coding RNA, 380 nt
Filed under: Zostera marina
Lineage: Eukaryota; Viridiplantae; Streptophyta; Magnoliopsida; Alismatales; Zosteraceae
Description: long non-coding RNA (ZMAR_LNC000488)
Source: RNAcentral